This is a long non-coding RNA of Oncorhynchus keta (chum salmon), 2813 nucleotides long. RefSeq lists it as uncharacterized. Lineage: Eukaryota; Metazoa; Chordata; Actinopteri; Salmoniformes; Salmonidae. The transcript has 9 exons. The record is from RefSeq and is a predicted model, not a curated record.
AAUAAUCAAGAUAAUCAACUAAACUAGAUCCUGCAGGAGUUGCUUUUUUUAGUGUGGUGUCAAAGAAAGCAGAGCAUCUCUUUACUAUGGACAGACCUCUCCCCAUCUUUACAACCAUUGAAUCUAUCCGUUUUGACCAUGACAGUUUUCAAUCCAAGCUGAGGACUUCCUUGUUGCCAUUCAGUUUGUCGUCGGAGAUAAGAGCAAUUGCAGAAGCGCUUUCUUUCAUCAAAGAACGGGCGCGGUUUCCUUGGGCUUGUUGAUGUCAAAUUGUGGAUUAAGGAGAAUGUUGCAGCUGUGCCCUCCUCUGCCGUCGCUAACAUUCUAUCCAUGAGUACCUCGGACAGUGAAGAGGACAGCCCAGGUUGCAUCCGAGAUACCUGUUAUGGGUGUAAGAUGGCACAGUGAUGCCAUCUGUUGGUAAAUGUUCAUUAGUGCAACUCUUGUGUUUUACCGGGGUGCUUGAGAUACCCGGAUGUGUUGUGACGUACUGAACAAGACUGGUUACUCGCAUCAAUGCUUCUGUCUCGUCAUUUAACGUUCAAACUUGGUGUCAGAAGUGGGAUAACUAACCAUGCUUUCUGCAAAUUAGAGUCACCUGCUCUGGUUUACCAUUCAAACAAUACCGUCUGUGCCAUUUUACCAACAAGACCCCGACCAAACCCAGCCUGCAGACAAGGAGCCCAAGGAUACAAGGAAUCGCAAUCUCCUCACCUCCUUUGCAAAUGUAUUGGAAGAGAUGGUCCAAGGUCGCUCCCUGGACCCUCCUCAACGCAUUUUGAGAAGUCGGGGAGAGAAUUUGGCGCCCUGCAAUUUCACUGGCUGUUGGCGAGGUGGGACGCUAGUGUCCCGAACGAUCCCAGAGAGGUUUAGACAUGAAGGGAGGUAUUUAAAACCUACAACAUGGCCAUGGAUUACCCCACAGUAGCCAUCAUCUAGAACUUUGGGGCGGUGGGAAUGAUCUGCAUACACUGGAAGAGGCCCCUGCAGCUGCAGCAGGCCUACCUCAUCGCCAUCUCAGCCCUCUUGGCCCUGGUGUUCAUCAAGUACCUGCCCGAGUGGUCAUCCUGGGAGCCAUCUCUGUCUACGAUUUGGUUGCAGUUUUGUGCCCCAAAGGUCCUCUAAGGAUGCUUGUGGAGACAGCACAGGAGUGUAACGAGCCCACCUUCCCUGCACUCUUAUAUUCAUGGACAGUGCACAUGAAUCAACGUUUCAGUAAAAGUGCCGGUUUUAGCCAGCCGGCUAAUUUUCAACCGCAGUCCCUGGGCAGGUUAUUAAAAACAUGUUCAUGGGACUCUGCCUCACUCUGCUGCUGCUGGCCAUAUGCAAGAAGGAGAUUGGGGGGCCAUCACCUUCGGCCUGGUCUUCUAUAGAUAACCUGGUUCGCCCCUUUAUGGACAACCUCGCUGCCCAUCAGUUCUACAUCUGACUUCCCCUCUGGGGGUCAAUAGAAUGCACAACACCCCCCCCCCCCACACGCCUGUAAUGUUUUACUCCAAUGGUAGUAUAAGCAAGGAUUUGAUUGGGGGGGGGGGGUGCUAUAAUGCCUUUUAAUCAAAUUUAGUAUAUUUUGCUAACAGGUCACCACAAAUGGGGGUCAAAUGCAUCAAGGAUUGUUUCAUGGGGUCUUCAACGUGGCAGGUGUAUCUGUCUGUUAUUUUCCAGAUAUAGGAUGGCGUCAAUUUGUUUCUUCUCAUUAGAUAGGUCAAUUUUGAUAAGAUGCAGGUCAGAAAAACAGGACAUUGUGAAUGAUCAGGAGAAAUCACAUUUGUAUUACGCACUAUAGAUCAUUUUGAAUUAGGCAUUUAUGUCCCACUCAAAGAUAACUCUGAAAUUGGGAAAAUUAUAAUUCCCUUUUAGUGUGAGAUUUAUGUUUUUACUCCUGGAAUUUGCCUGUUCAGGUGGGAUGUAGUUUUUGGCCCCCACAGCAUGACAUCACAAUCCGAUCGGAUUAUUCUGACCAAUAACCUGUUCACAAAAAUGGUUAGCUCCUACAGACAGUGACUCUGUCUGUCUGGGGCUUGCUAUAUAAAGCAGGCAUCGAGGUCAGUGUAUUUGGUGUUAUUUUCAUGAAAUAAAGUUGUUGUUUUUUUACACUGAUUUUAAUGUCUCGAAAGCAGAAAGUCUGUCUUCACUUCUAACCCCCAUUCCCCUUAUGUAAAUAAGCAAGACAAUCAAGCAGAUUCAAAUGAAAGUUAUUUUUGAGGCACUCUAUUCGUCAACAAUUGAUUUAAUCUUGUAUGACUUGUAGGAAAUUAUUUAACUUUACAUUUUCUAAUAGUUGGUUUGAAACCAAAUGGAAGUCAAAUCAUACACUCUCUAUUUUGAUAAUUGCUGCUAUGUAUGGUGAAGGUGUAGGAUUGGGGGAGAGGCUGAUGCUAGAUCUGUACCUAGGGGAAACAUCCCGGAGAGCCUGAAAACAGAAACUAAACAUGGUGGUCCAAACUAGCCUGAAAUCCAAACAGAUAUUCUCUGUUCAUCAGUUUGUAUUGCAGUCUAGGUUCUAAAUGCUCACUGAAGACCAAAACUUGCCGGUAGCUUAAAGCUAAAAUACUGGCAUGCUGUUUGAACGCAACGAAAGUGUGUAGUCUUUAUAUUGAAGAUAUAUUUUAUAGAAUGUAAUGCUGUAACGUUUUAUAUUAAUACACUUAAAUGAAGUUUGAUGGAUUUUCUGUUGUGCAAUAAAGUGGUACUUCUGCUAAAUGAAUUCCAAGAGCACAAAUCUAACAAUGGAUGAAAGGGUGCUUCUGACGAUUAAUCUUAAUGGUUGUACAGUCGUCUCAAAUAAAACUGUGAAGGACCUCGGCGUUACU